Molecule: long non-coding RNA, 102 nt
Organism: Thalassophryne amazonica
Lineage: Eukaryota; Metazoa; Chordata; Actinopteri; Batrachoidiformes; Batrachoididae
Exons: 3
Source: RefSeq, a predicted model, not a curated record
GGAGAGUGGCGGUGUAGGAGAUCAGUGAGAUAUGGGGGGGUGAGGUUAUAUAGGGCUUUGUAAGUGAUGAGGAGAAUCUUGAAAUGAAUGCGUUGUUGAUUG